This 78-nucleotide non-coding RNA is filed under the name Leptolyngbya sp. PCC 7375. Lineage: Bacteria; Bacillati; Cyanobacteriota; Cyanophyceae; Leptolyngbyales; Leptolyngbyaceae. The record is from RNAcentral.
GGGAGCCGGAUGCGGUGAAAGUCGCACGUCCGGAUCUAAGUGGGAGGGGCGAAGUGGUAACACUUCCUCCGACCCAAC